Molecule: long non-coding RNA, 720 nt
Organism: Orcinus orca (killer whale)
Lineage: Eukaryota; Metazoa; Chordata; Mammalia; Artiodactyla; Delphinidae
Exons: 5
Source: RefSeq, a predicted model, not a curated record
GGAAAGGGUCCGGAGAGUUCGAUAAGGGAUGAGAAAGGCAGUUCCCCGAGCAGGGAAGGAGUGGGAGAGUAUCGCUGCAUGGGACCUUGGUCCUCUGGGCUUGUGUGUUGAGAGUGUGUUGAGAACAACAGCCCUGGUCUCUGGCUCUGCUGCAGUCACAGCUCUGCCUGGACCAAAGGCACUCUGACAGUUUCAUGGCCACGACAGAAAUCAGCCAAAGCCCAGAAGGUGAGCAGUGACACCACCUAGAAAACCGCGCUGCACCGUGUCUGUGACAGCAAGAGACGGGAAGCCGCUCGCCCUCAUGAAUAUAUGGCAGGGUGUGCUGUUCCAACCACACAAAAGCCGAGCAGGUCUGAGGAACUGGAUUUUACAGAGUGAAAUCUAGUCUUCAAAAGAGUGGCAGAACCUUGGGAAAUCAACACAAACAUCUUUUGAGCAGCUACAAACAGACUUCCUUUGGUUGGUGUACGGACAGGCAUCCAGUAGAGACUGAGACCACCAGCCCAUUUCAUACAGGCCACUGAACAGUCAGAAGACGGUAACAACCUUGGGUCUCUGGUGACCUGAACUGGAUUCAACUCACUGACCUAGAGGGAAUCUACAUGUCCUUUGAAACAAAAGGAAGUCAAAGAAAUUUACAGAAACAAGAGAUAACAAAACAAUUUCAAAUCAUAAACCACAGAUUUAAAUUGCCUUGUUUUCCUUCCAACUGCUCGG